ACCCUGGUCACAAGGGGAGAAACACUAAAAUGAAGUGACACAGAAAAGGUCAGCCUGGCCCCUGAGCAUGGGUGACAGGCACAUUUGUGAAACUACAUUUUU
Molecule: small nuclear RNA, 102 nt
Organism: Erinaceus europaeus (western European hedgehog)
Lineage: Eukaryota; Metazoa; Chordata; Mammalia; Eulipotyphla; Erinaceidae
Source: Ensembl